GGUCAAGCGAAUAAGCGCACACGGUGGAUGCCUUGGCGGUCAGAGGCGAUGAAGGACGUGGCAGCCUGCGAAAAGUAUCGGGGAGCUGGCAACAAGCUUUGAUCCGGUAAUGUCCGAAUGGGGAAACCCACCCGCUUGCGGGUAUCCUGCAGUGAAUACAUAGCUGCUGGAAGCGAACCUGGUGAACUGAAAUAUCUAAGUAACCAGAGGAAAAGAAAUCAACCGAGAUUCCGUAAGUAGCGACGAGCGAACGCGGACUAGCCCUUAAGCUGGAUUGGUUCUAGGAAAACGCUCUGGAAAGAGCGGCCAUAGAAGGUGAUAGCCCUGUAUCUGAAAGGGCCAUUCCAGUGAAGACGAGUAGGGCGGGGCACGUGAAACCCUGUCUGAACAUGGGGGGACCAUCCUCCAAGGCUAAAUACUACUGACCGACCGAUAGUGAACCAGUACCGUGAGGGAAAGGCGAAAAGAACCCCGGAGAGGGGAGUGAAAUAGAACCUGAAACCGUGUGCGUACAAGCAGUAGGAGCUCCGCAAGGAGUGACUGCGUACCUUUUGUAUAAUGGGUCAGCGACUUACUGUUCGUGGCAAGCUUAACCGUAUAGGGGAGGCGAAGGGAAACCGAGUCUGAUAAGGGCGCAUAGUCGCGGGCAGUAGACCCGAAACCGGGUGAUCUAGUCAUGCCCAGGGUGAAGGUGCGGUAACACGCACUGGAGGCCCGAACCCACUCCCGUUGCAAAGGUAGGGGAUGAGGUGUGAUUAGGAGUGAAAAGCUAAUCGAACCCGGAGAUAGCUGGUUCUCCUCGAAAGCUAUUUAGGUAGCGCCUCAUAUGUAUCCUCUCGGGGGUAGAGCACUGUUAUGGCUAGGGGGUCAUCGCGACUUACCAAACCAUUGCAAACUCCGAAUACCGAGACGGACUGUAUGGGAGACACACGGCGGGUGCUAACGUCCGUCGUGAAAAGGGAAACAACCCAGACCCACAGCUAAGGUCCCAAAUUCACUGCUAAGUGGAAAACCAUGUGGAAAGGCACAGACAGCCAGGAGGUUGGCUUAGAAGCAGCCACCCUUUAAAGAAAGCGUAAUAGCUCACUGGUCGAGUCGGUCUGCGGGGAAGAUUUAACGGGGCUAAGCAGUGAACCGAAGCUUGGGGUGCAUACUUUGUAUGCGCGGUAGAGGAGCGUUCCGUAAGCCGUUGAAGGUGGAUUGAGAAGUCUGCUGGAGGUAUCGGAAGUGCGAAUGCUGACAUGAGUAACGAUAAUGCGGGUGAAAAACCCGCACGCCGAAAGCCCAAGGUUUCCUUGCGCAACGUUAAUCGGCGCAGGGUGAGUCGGCCCCUAAGGCGAGGACGAAAGUCGUAGUCGAUGGGAAGCAGGUUAAUAUUCCUGCACCUCGCGUAAGUGCGAUGGAGGGACGGAGAAGGUUAGGUGUACCAGGCGUUGGUUGUCCUGGGGAAAGGCGGUAGGUUUGGAUCUUUGGCAAAUCCGGGAUCCUCUAAGACCGAGCACCGAGACGAGCCUUUAUGGCGAAGUCACUGAUACCACGCUUCCAGGAAAAGCUCCUAAGCUUCAGCUUACGCAGACCGUACCGUAAACCGACACAGGUGGGUAGGAUGAGAAUUCUCAGGCGCUUGAGAGAACUCGGGUGAAGGAACUAGGCAACAUGGCACCGUAACUUCGGGAGAAGGUGCACCCUUUUUGGUGGCUCGUGCGAGCUAUAGCUGAAGAGGGUCGCAGUAACCAGGCCGCUGCGACUGUUUAUCAAAAACACAGCACUCUGCAAACACGAAAGUGGACGUAUAGGGUGUGACGCCUGCCCGGUGCUGGAAGGUUAAUUGAUGGGGUCAGCCGCAAGGCGAAGCUCUUGAUCGAAGCCCCAGUAAACGGCGGCCGUAACUAUAACGGUCCUAAGGUAGCGAAAUUCCUUGUCGGGUAAGUUCCGACCUGCACGAAUGGCGUAACGACAGCGGCGCUGUCUCCACCCGAGACUCAGUGAAAUUGAAAUCGCUGUGAAGAUGCAGCGUUCCCGUGGCAAGACGGAAAGACCCCGUGAACCUUUACUAUAGCUUUACACUGAACGUUGAGUUCGUCUGUGUAGGAUAGGUGGGAGGCUAUGAAACCAUGGCGCUAGCUGUGGCGGAGCCAUCCUUGAAAUACCACCCUGUCGUGCUUGACGUUCUAACCUGGGCCCAUUAUCUGGGUCGGGGACCGUGUAUGGUGGGUAGUUUGACUGGGGCGGUCUCCUCCUAAAGAGUAACGGAGGAGCUCGAAGGUACGCUCAGCGCGGUCGGACAUCGCGCACUGUGUGCAAAGGCAUAAGCGUGCUUGACUGCAAGAUCGACGGAUCAAGCAGGUAGGAAACUAGGACUUAGUGAUCCGGUGGUUCUGUAUGGAAGGGCCAUCGCUCAACGGAUAAAAGGUACUCCGGGGAUAACAGGCUGAUACCGCCCAAGAGUUCAUAUCGACGGCGGUGUUUGGCACCUCGAUGUCGGCUCAUCACAUCCUGGGGCUGUAGUCGGUCCCAAGGGUAUGGCUGUUCGCCAUUUAAAGUGGUACGCGAGCUGGGUUCAGAACGUCGUGAGACAGUUCGGUCCCUAUCUGCCAUGGGCGUUGGAGAUUUGAGAGGGGCUGCUCCUAGUACGAGAGGACCGGAGUGGACGAACCUCUGGUGUUCCGGUUGUCACGCCAGUGGCAUUGCCGGGUAGCUAUGUUCGGAAGCGAUAACCGCUGAAAGCAUCUAAGCGGGAAGCGCGCCUCAAGAUGAGAUCUCCCGGGGCACAAGCCCCCUGAAGGAACCAUGUAGACUACGUGGUUGAUAGGUCAGGUGUGUAAGUACAGCAAUGUAUUGAGCUAACUGAUACUAAUGAUCCGUGCGGCUUGACCAU
RNAcentral lists this ribosomal RNA (2878 nucleotides) under Stenotrophomonas maltophilia. Its description in RNAcentral is "23S ribosomal RNA". It matches the Rfam family "Bacterial large subunit ribosomal RNA". Lineage: Bacteria; Pseudomonadati; Pseudomonadota; Gammaproteobacteria; Lysobacterales; Lysobacteraceae. The record is from RNAcentral.